GAUGAACGCUGGCGGCGUGCCUAAUACAUGCAAGUCGAGCGAACAGACGAGGAGCUUGCUCCUCUGACGUUAGCGGCGGACGGGUGAGUAACACGUGGAUAACCUACCUAUAAGACUGGGAUAACUUCGGGAAACCGGAGCUAAUACCGGAUAAUAUAUUGAACCGCAUGGUUCAAUAGUGAAAGACGGUUUUGCUGUUACUUAUAGAUGGAUCCGCGCCGCAUUAGCUAGUUGGUAAGGUAACGGCUUACCAAGGCAACGAUGCGCAGCCGAACUGAGAGGGUGAUCGGCGGCAUGGGAACGUAGCCACGGUCCAGACUCCUACGGUAGGCAGCAGUAGGGAAUCUUCCGCAAUGGGCGGAAACUUUGCGGAGCAACGCCGCGUGAGUGAUGAAGGUCUUCGGAUCGUAAAGCUCUGUUAUUAGGUAAGAACAAAUGUGUAAGUAACUAUGCACGUCUUGACGGUACCUAAUCAGAAAGCCACGGCUAACUACGUG
Molecule: ribosomal RNA, 497 nt
Filed under: uncultured bacterium
Lineage: Bacteria
Description: partial 16S ribosomal RNA
Rfam family: Bacterial small subunit ribosomal RNA
Source: RNAcentral